RNAcentral lists this ribosomal RNA (388 nucleotides) under uncultured bacterium. RNAcentral describes it as "bacterial SSU rRNA". It matches the Rfam family "Bacterial small subunit ribosomal RNA", at positions 30 to 420 of the family's 1533-position model. The record is from RNAcentral.
AUUGAACGCUGGCGGCAUGCCUUACACAUGCAAGUCGAACGGCAGCGGACCUUCGGGUGCCGGCGAGUGGCGAACGGGUGAGUAAAGUAUCGGAACGUACCUUUCAGUGGGGGAUAACGUAGCGAAAGUUACGCUAAUACCGCAUAUUCUGUGAGCAGGAAAGCAGGGGAUCGCAAGACCUUGCGCUGAUUGAGCGGCCGAUAUCAGAUUAGCUAGUUGGUGAGGUAAAGGCUCACCAAGGCGACGAUCUGUAGCGGGUCUGAGAGGAUGAUCCGCCACACUGGAACUGAGACACGGUCCAGACUCCUACGGGAGGCAGCAGUGGGGAAUUUUGGACAAUGGAGGCAACCCUGAUCCAGCCAUGCCGCGUGAGUGAAGAAGGCCUCGG